CCUACGGGUGGCAGCAGUGAGGAAUAUUGGUCAAUGGGCGGAAGCCUGAACCAGCCAAGUAGCGUGCAGGAUGAUGGCCCUACGGGUUGUAAACUGCUUUUAUACGGGAAUAACGCGCCUUACGUGUAGGGCUUUGCAUGUACCGUAUGAAUAAGGACCGGCUAAUUCCGUGCCAGCAGCCGCGGUAAUAUGGAAGGUCCGGGCGUUAUCCGGAUUUAUUGGGUUUAACGGGAGCGUAGGCGGCAUGCCAAGCCUGGAGUGAAAUGUCCGGGCUCAACCCGGGCCUUGCAGCGCGAACUGGCGUGCUUGAGUCCGCGGAAGGCAGGCGGAAUUCGUCGUGUAGCGGUGAAAUGCUUAGAUAUGAGGAGGAACACCGGUUGCGAAGGCAGCUUGCUGCAGCGGAACUGACGCUGAUGCUCGAAAGCGCGGGUAUCGAACAGGAUUAGAUACCCCAGUAGUC
This 460-nucleotide ribosomal RNA is filed under the name uncultured bacterium. RNAcentral describes it as "partial 16S ribosomal RNA". It matches the Rfam family "Bacterial small subunit ribosomal RNA", at positions 338 to 795 of the family's 1533-position model. The record is from RNAcentral.